UUUGAUUAAAAAAAAAAGAAAAAUGAAAACAGUUUUUUUUAAAAGCUUAGAAAAGCUAGAGUCUGCUGCCACAAAAAGGGAAUUUCGAGAUUUGUUAGAUGUUCCAGAAAAUUAUGGGCUUUUGGUAUGUUAUAGUAAACUGAAUAAGCUUUCCAUAGACUCCGGAACGGAUUAAUUCCGACUUCGGAGCAAAGAGUUAUGACCGUUCAAAGUAGUCGCGUCAAAACUGUCAAACUAACUCGGGUCAGUCACUUUACACGGAAUUUCUGGAAUUCUUUGUUUAGAAUUUGAAG
This 293-nucleotide long non-coding RNA is filed under the name Panax ginseng (ginseng). RNAcentral describes it as "long non-coding RNA (PGIN_LNC001061)". The record is from RNAcentral. Lineage: Eukaryota; Viridiplantae; Streptophyta; Magnoliopsida; Apiales; Araliaceae.